GAAAUGCGAUAAGUAAUGUGAAUUGCAGAAUUCAGUGAAUCAUCGAAUCUUUGAACGCACCUUGCGCUCCUUGGUAUUCCUUGGAGCAUGCCUGUUUGAGUAUCAUGAAAUCUUCAAAGUAAAUCUUUUGUUAACUCAAUUGGUUUCUACUUUGGUAUUGGAGGUCUUUGCAGCUUCACACCUGCUCCUCUUUGUUCAUUAGCUGGAUCUCAGUGUUAUGCUUGGUUCCACUCGGCGUGAUAAGUUAUCUAUCGCUGAGGACACUGUAAAAGGUGGCCAAGGUAAAUGCAGAUGAACCGCUUCUAAUAGUCCAUUGACUUGGACAAUACUUUUAUGAUCUGACCUCAAAUCAGGUAGGACUACCCGCUGAACUUAAGC
Molecule: unclassified non-coding RNA, 378 nt
Filed under: plant metagenome
Description: partial contains 5.8S ribosomal RNA, internal transcribed spacer 2, and large subunit ribosomal RNA
Rfam family: 5.8S ribosomal RNA (bases 1-105)
Source: RNAcentral